UAUUUGCUACUAUUUUUUUUUAAGUAAGUUUGUCACGCUCCGAAACCCGGCUCUUUGGUCGGAUUCGGCGCGCCAACAGACAGCCGAACGGAUAGAGUUUUUCCUAUCUGCCCAAGGUGUCACAACAGUACAAUUCAAGUGGUUCCAAACAGAAAUAAAAUUUAUACACGCAUUGCAUAAGGAAGGCAUCAUAAACAUAGAUACUACGCUAUUACAAGCAUUCGUCUCAUUUCAUAUUAUAUUUACAUUAUUUUCUUCUAAAUACAAUCAAUUUUAUUACAAUUUUGUUUCUUCCUCUCUGUACUCCUAAGCUAUGCUGACCCAGAAUACAUCUAUCUCUGGUCUCAACUGGUAGGGCGCUAUUUACCGAGCUACACCCUUUCCUCGCGCCGCCAUGCCGCUUACGUGUGGAUCUGAAAAAUAUAAGGUUAAGAAUUAUAAAUAUAAUUCCCAGUGGGUACGACCACCCAAGGGAAGAGCUCGACCCACCAAGUCGAAAGGAGGCAAUAUAAACAAGUUAGUCCAACAUAUAACAUAUAAUUCAACUUUAUACAAUUAAAUAAAAAUCAUGCUUAUGCCUCACAAAAUACGAUAUGAAAUCCAUGCAAGUAGAUCUACCAUUUCUAUUUUCUAUUUAACAAUCCAUUAUAUUCACAAUCCGCUUCUAAGAUUUUUUUACCUUAGUCAAGCUAUACCAUCCGACUCGGUCUUAAAUCAAUUAUCAGCAGACUACUGCUCAU
RNAcentral lists this long non-coding RNA (740 nucleotides) under Ananas comosus (pineapple). Its description in RNAcentral is "long non-coding RNA (ACOM_LNC001816)". The record is from RNAcentral. Lineage: Eukaryota; Viridiplantae; Streptophyta; Magnoliopsida; Poales; Bromeliaceae.